Brassica napus (rape) is the source of this 187-nucleotide long non-coding RNA. RefSeq lists it as uncharacterized. The transcript has 2 exons. The record is from RefSeq and is a predicted model, not a curated record. Lineage: Eukaryota; Viridiplantae; Streptophyta; Magnoliopsida; Brassicales; Brassicaceae.
GCGCUAUCUAUACUCGUUGUCACUUUGGAUGAAGCGCAUCCGAUAACAUCGUCUAUCAGUGCUUCUCUCCUCUUCGUACUAGACACUGCACCUACAAAACCCAAUUAGCUCAGAAGAUGCUAUUUUGUAAAGAUCAACUUUGUAAACAAAAUAGUUCAGGUUUUGCGUACCUGAACCCUUGGCCUCA